GAUGAAGAACGCAGCGAAAUGCGAUAAGUAAUGUGAAUUGCAGAAUUCAGUGAAUCAUCGAAUCUUUGAACGCACAUUGCGCCCGCCAGUAUUCUGGCGGGCAUGCCUGUUCGAGCGUCAUUUCAACCAUCAGGCCCCCGGCUUGUGUUGGGGACCUGCGGCUGCCGCAGGCCCUGAAAACCAGUGGCGGGCUCGCUAGUCACUCCGAGCGUAGUAAUACAUCUCGCUCAGGGCGUGCUGCGGGUUCCGGCCGUUAAAAAGCCUUAUUUACCCAAGGUUGACCUCGGAUCAGGUAGGAAGACCCGCUGAACUUAAGCAUAUCAAUAAGCGGAGGA
This 335-nucleotide unclassified non-coding RNA is filed under the name soil metagenome. Its description in RNAcentral is "partial contains 5.8S ribosomal RNA, internal transcribed spacer 2, and large subunit ribosomal RNA". The stretch from base 1 to 120 matches the Rfam family "5.8S ribosomal RNA", at positions 35 to 154 of the family's 154-position model. The record is from RNAcentral.